This 382-nucleotide unclassified non-coding RNA is filed under the name fungal sp. RNAcentral's name for it is "partial internal transcribed spacer region". The stretch from base 1 to 46 matches the Rfam family "Eukaryotic small subunit ribosomal RNA", at positions 1786 to 1831 of the family's 1831-position model. RNAcentral also lists the same sequence under 1 other name. The record is from RNAcentral. Lineage: Eukaryota; Fungi.
AAGUCGUAACAAGGUUUCCGUAGGUGAACCUGCGGAAGGAUCAUUAACACGUUAUCCACGUUUAUCAACUGAAACGACGAACUAGCUCCCCGAGAUUGACAUUCUUAGCUGUUUGAUGAGAAUUAUAGUGGGUUAUAUUUCGGUAUAACAUAUUCUCUCAAACUAUCAGUCCUUUGAGAUUGUGGCGAAGUAAACCAAUAGCGGGCUUUCUUUUCAAUCCAUUGACCCCACUACUAUGGGGCGGAUGUGGUGCGAAACCCAUACCAAUUUCACCCUAUUUUACCUAUUUGACUAAUUAUUAUAUUUAUGGAGAGAAAUCUCUAUGAAUUCUAAGAUUUAUCUUAACUAAGCACAACUCUUAGCAAUGGAUAUCUUGGUUCUC